RNAcentral lists this ribosomal RNA (429 nucleotides) under Gemmatimonadota bacterium. RNAcentral's name for it is "Gemmatimonadetes bacterium partial 16S ribosomal RNA". It matches the Rfam family "Bacterial small subunit ribosomal RNA", at positions 355 to 776 of the family's 1533-position model. Lineage: Bacteria; Pseudomonadati; Gemmatimonadota. The record is from RNAcentral.
UAGGGAAUUUUCGGCAAUGGACGAAAGUCUGACCGAGCAACGCCGCGUGAGUGAAGAAGGCUUUCGGAUCGUAAAACUCUGUUGUUAGAGAAGAACAAGGACGUUAGUAACUGAACGUCCCCUGACGGUAUCUAACCAGAAAGCCACGGCUAACUACGUGCCAGCAGCCGCGGUAAUACGCAGGUGGCAAGCGUUGUCCGGAUUUAUUGGGCGUAAAGCGAGCGCAGGCGGUUUCUUAAGUCUGAUGUGAAAGCCCCCGGCUCAACCGGGGAGGGUCAUUGGAAACUGGGAGGCUUGAGUGCAGAAGAGGAGAGUGGAAUUCCAUGUGUAGCGGGGAAAUGCGUAGAUAUAUGGAGGAACACCAGUGGCGAAGGCGGCUCUCUGGUCUGUAACUGACGCUGAGGCUCGAAAGCGUGGGGAGCAAACAGG